GUAAAUAAUGCCGAGUUCAACACGUUUGAUGACGUCAUUGUGUUUAUUUUCCUUCAAGUAUUUUGUUUAGCAGGUUGUGUCCCUUGGUUUCUGGUCAUCAGUUUGUUUUGACUAAUACUCACUCGCUACUAGUGACGUAGCGGACGGUCUGUCGACCUCUUUCCCAUCUUGUAGUCUAGAGACAAGACGUUUUCUUGAGGGAGCUCUGAUUUUCGCCUUGUACUUCAAUACUGGAUAGCCUUAUUGUUGUGUCUUGGUUGAUAUUCGGAUUAUUCUUGAAUUGGAUUAUCUUGACCCCUGUUUAGGGGUCUUAUUUUAGGUUUUAGUUCAGGCUUCAGAUUGGUUCUAGCCUUGGACUAUGGAAUUAAGUUCUCAUCCUAGAGUUCUCUGUCUGAUGUGUGGUGGUACGGCGGAGAGUACCGUUCCAGACUUCGGGUGACUGUAUUCAGACCGGUUGUUGGUUUAUGACGUUCCAGCUUGUGAUGGUAUGGUGACCUGCGCUGUGGACUAUUAAUGAAGACUGCUCUAUGUGUAUUGUUAGUUGUUAUUUGGAUAACUACCUAGGCACACUUAGUGCGAUAUUGAAGUUAAGUUAUUGUAUUAUUGGUAUGGAAAUAGCCCAUUACUUGGGAUGAAUUAGAGCAUAUUAUUUUAUAUCACGUAUUUAUAUAUCUUAUUGUAACUCACCUCAUUAUUACCAUUCAUAUUCACUCAGUGUAUAUAAUUCAUUGCAUUAAAUUCCUAAUUUUAUUUAAAUCAUCA
This is a long non-coding RNA of Biomphalaria glabrata, 762 nucleotides long. RefSeq lists it as uncharacterized. Lineage: Eukaryota; Metazoa; Mollusca; Gastropoda; Planorbidae. The record is from RefSeq and is a predicted model, not a curated record. The transcript has 2 exons.